CCUACGGGUGGCAGCAGUGGGGAAUAUUGGGCAAUGGGCGCAAGCCUGACCCAGCAACGCCGCGUGAAGGAAGAAGGCUUUCGGGUUGUAAACUUCUUUUAAGAGGGAAGAGCAGAAGACGGUACCUCUUGAAUAAGCCACGUCUAACUACGUGCCAGCAGCCGCGGUAAUACGUAGGUGACAAGCUUUGUCCGGAUUUACUGGGUGUAAAGGGCGUGUAGCCGGGCUGACAAGUCAGAUGUGAAAUCCGGGGGCUCAACCGCCGAACUGCAUUUGAAACUGUUGGUCUUGAGUAUCGGAGAGGCAGGCGGAAGUCCUAGUGUAGCGGUGAAAUGCGUAGAUAUUAGGAGGAACACCGGUGGCGAAGGCGGCCUGCUGGACGACAACUGACGGUGAGGCGCGAAAGCGUGGGGAGCAAACAGGAUUAGAUACCCUUGUAGUC
Molecule: ribosomal RNA, 442 nt
Filed under: uncultured bacterium
Lineage: Bacteria
Description: partial 16S ribosomal RNA
Rfam family: Bacterial small subunit ribosomal RNA
Source: RNAcentral